This 824-nucleotide non-coding RNA is filed under the name Alpheus hoplocheles. The record is from RNAcentral. Lineage: Eukaryota; Metazoa; Arthropoda; Malacostraca; Decapoda; Alpheidae.
GAGGAGUUUGAUUCUUGCUUUGCCUGUAGUCCUUGGUCAGGGCACAUGAAAGUAUAAGCUUAGUUGCUUCCGGUCGGAUGGGAGUAGGGGGCCGGUUUGUAGGGUUUAUGAAUGAUUCUCAGUGCAUAGGAUUGGUUGAUAAAGUGGUUUUUGAUCCAGUGAUCUAAGUUAAGUCCAGGCUAAAAUUGUGCCAGCAGCCGCGGUUAUACUGAUAGGGCCACUAUAGGUGUGUUGUGGUUGGGGUGUUUAGAGGCUCUAAGGUUUAAGUUAGCUUUACUGUGGCAAAGGGGUGAAAUCUAUUAUUUAUUAGUGUGUUUAGUUUGGCUUUAGGGAGUUUGAAAUUCCGAAGCUUGGGGUGUAAAAUAGGAUUAGAUACCCUAAUAUACCCAGGGGAAAUUAGUACGAUCUUAGGGUAGUAAACAGGUAUAAUCUCGAAACUCAAAGAAUUUGGCGGUACUUAAGUCCGGUUAGAGGAACUUGUGCAGUAAACGAUAGUCCGCGAGAAUUUUGCCUUGUUUUGUACUUAUCAGUUUGUAUACCGCCAUUAUUAGAUAAUCUUAGUAGAGAGUUAUUGCGAUUAAUUAAUUUAAAUAUAUUAGGUCAAGGUGCAGCUUAUAGGAAGGUUGUUGUGAGUUACAUUGGUUUGGGCCAUACGGAUAGUGUCUGGGAGGAAGGAGAUUUUAAGGUGGAUUUAAUUGUAAGGGGUGUGCAUUACGCACCUUUGAUAAGGGCUCUUAGGUAUGUACACAUCGCCCGUCGUUCUCACUCUAAGGUGAGGUAAGUCGUAACAUAGUAGGUGUGUUGGAAAAGGCACCUAGAAGUAA